Molecule: non-coding RNA, 75 nt
Organism: Heligmosomoides polygyrus
Lineage: Eukaryota; Metazoa; Nematoda; Chromadorea; Rhabditida; Heligmosomidae
Source: Rfam
GCGCCGGUGGUGUAAAGGCGGAGAGCAUUCCCGCCCGGUCAAAGGGAGGUGCGGGUUCGAGUCCCGCCUGGCGCU